Acidobacterium capsulatum ATCC 51196 is the source of this 54-nucleotide small RNA. It matches the Rfam family "nadA riboswitch". Lineage: Bacteria; Pseudomonadati; Acidobacteriota; Terriglobia; Terriglobales; Acidobacteriaceae. The record is from Rfam.
GGCGGCAACAUCCCCGCCGGUUGGGCGCGCGAGCGCAGUGAACCGGCUGCAGCC